UUUUUCCUACGGGGGGCAGCAGUGAGGAAUAUUGGUCAAUGGGCGCGAGCCUGAACCAGCCACGUCGCGUGAGGGAUGACGGCCCUACGGGUUGUAAACCUCUUUUGUCGGGGAGCAAAUUCCGUUACGUGUAACGGAGUCGAGAGUACCCGAAGAAAAAGCAUCGGCUAACUCCGUGCCAGCAGCCGCGGUAAUACGGAGGAUGCGAGCGUUAUCCGGAUUUAUUGGGUUUAAAGGGUGCGUAGGCGGACUGUUAAGUCAGCGGUAAAAGCCCGGGGCUCAACCCCGGCGAGCCGUUGAAACUG
This 305-nucleotide ribosomal RNA is filed under the name uncultured bacterium. RNAcentral describes it as "bacterial SSU rRNA". It matches the Rfam family "Bacterial small subunit ribosomal RNA", at positions 333 to 635 of the family's 1533-position model. The record is from RNAcentral.